Molecule: small nucleolar RNA, 104 nt
Organism: Gossypium raimondii (Peruvian cotton)
Lineage: Eukaryota; Viridiplantae; Streptophyta; Magnoliopsida; Malvales; Malvaceae
Rfam family: Plant small nucleolar RNA R71
About the family: R71 is a member of the C/D box family of snoRNAs containing the C (UGAUGA) and D (CUGA) box motifs. Multiple nearly identical copies of this snoRNA have been identified in Arabidopsis, and it is thought to function as a 2'-O-ribose methylation guide for 18S ribosomal RNA.
Source: Rfam
AUGCAAUGAGGGUACUUCCAUAAUAAUUCUUUAUACCUUUCCCAUGCCUCAUACAAGGACUCAUCAUCCAUUUGCUAGAAAGUAAUAAUCUCAUUCCUCAUCUU